AUUGAACGCUGGCGACAUGCCUUACACAUGCAAGUCGAACGGCAGCACGGGAGCAAUCCUGGUGGCGAGUGGCGAACGGGUGAGUAAUAUAUCGGAACGUGCCCAGUCGUGGGGGAUAACGUAGCGAAAGCUACGCUAAUACCGCAUACUAUCUAUGGAUGAAAGCGGGGGAUCGCAAGACCUCGCGCGAUUGGAGCGGCCGAUAUCAGAUUAGGUAGUUGGUGAGGUAAAGGCUCACCAAGCCGACGAUCUGUAGCUGGUCUGAGAGGACGACCAGCCACACUGGGACUGAGACACGGCCCAGACUCCUACGGGAGGCAGCAGUGGGGAAUUUUGGACAAUGGGCGCAAGCCUGAUCCAGCAAUGCCGCGUGCAGGAUGAAGGCCUUCGGGUUGUAAACUGCUUUUGUACGGAACGAAACGGUGAGCUCUAAUACAGUUUGCUAAUGACGGUACCGUAAGAAUAAGCACCGGCUAACUACGUG
Molecule: ribosomal RNA, 484 nt
Filed under: uncultured bacterium
Lineage: Bacteria
Description: bacterial SSU rRNA
Rfam family: Bacterial small subunit ribosomal RNA
Source: RNAcentral